This 1366-nucleotide ribosomal RNA is filed under the name uncultured bacterium. Its description in RNAcentral is "bacterial SSU rRNA". It matches the Rfam family "Bacterial small subunit ribosomal RNA", at positions 28 to 1381 of the family's 1533-position model. The record is from RNAcentral.
GACGAAUGCUGACGGCGUGCCUAAUACAUGCAAGUAGAACGCUGAAGGAGGAGCUUGCUUCUCUGGAUGAGUUGCGAACGGGUGAGUAACGCGUAGGUAACCUGCCUGGUAGCGGGGGAUAACUAUUGGAAACGAUAGCUAAUACCGCAUAAUAUUGACUAUUGCAUGAUAGUCAGUUGAAAGGUGCAACUGCACCACUACCAGAUGGACCUGCGUUGUAUUAGCUAGUUGGUGGGGUAAAGGCCUACCAAGGCGACGAUCCGUAGCGGGUCUGAGAGGAUGAUCCGCCACACUGGGACUGAGACACGGCCCAGACUCCUACGGGAGGCAGCAGUGGGGAAUUUUGGACAAUGGGCGCAAGCCUGAUCCAGCCAUGCCGCGUGUAUGAAGAAGGCCUUAGGGUUGUAAAGUACUUUUGUUAGGGAAGAAAAGGCAUUUGCUAAUAUCAGAUGCUGAUGACGGUACCUAAAGAAUAAGCACCGGCUAACUACGUGCCAGCAGCCGCGGUAAUACGUAGGGUGCGAGCGUUAAUCGGAAUUACUGGGCGUAAAGCGAGCGCAGACGGUUACUUAAGCAGGAUGUGAAAUCCCCGGGCUCAACCUGGGCACUGCGUUCUGAACUGGGUAACUAGAGUGUGUCAGAGGGAGGUAGAAUUCCACGUGUAGCAGUGAAAUGCGUAGAGAUGUGGAGGAAUACCGAUGGCGAAGGCAGCCUCCUGGGAUAACACUGACGUUCAUGCUCGAAAGCGUGGGUAGCAAACAGGAUUAGAUACCCUGGUAGUCCACGCCCUAAACGAUGUCAAUUAGCUGUUGGGGUACUAGAUGCCUUAGUAGCGAAGCUAACGCGUGAAAUUGACCGCCUGGGGAGUACGGUCGCAAGAUUAAAACUCAAAGGAAUUGACGGGGACCCGCACAAGCGGUGGAUGAUGUGGAUUAAUUCGAUGCAACGCGAAGAACCUUACCUGGUCUUGACAUGUACGGAAUCCUCCAGAGACGGAGGAGUGCCUUCGGGAGCCGUAACACAGGUGCUGCAUGGCUGUCGUCAGCUCGUGUCGUGAGAUGUUGGGUUAAGUCCCGCAACGAGCGCAACCCUUGUCAUUAGUUGCCAUCAUUAAGUUGGGCACUCUAAUGAGACUGCCGGUGACAAACCGGAGGAAGGUGGGGAUGACGUCAAGUCCUCAUGGCCCUUAUGACCAGGGCUUCACACGUCAUACAAUGGUCGGUACAGAGGGUAGCCAAGCCGCGAGGUGGAGCCAAUCCCAAAAAACCGAUCGUAGUCCGGAUUGCACUCUGCAACUCGAGUGCAUGAAGUCGGAAUCGCUAGUAAUCGCAGGUCAGCAUACCGCGGUGAAUACGUUCCCGGGUCU